RNAcentral lists this long non-coding RNA (2077 nucleotides) under Brassica napus (rape). RNAcentral describes it as "long non-coding RNA (BNAP_LNC006584)". The record is from RNAcentral. Lineage: Eukaryota; Viridiplantae; Streptophyta; Magnoliopsida; Brassicales; Brassicaceae.
CCUUCUUAAGUCCGAUCUCGUCUAUGUUUGUACUGAGCUUUUCUUUUACUAUAUUUUUUUACUACAUGUUAUUACUGAGUUUUAGAGGCAAAACCAAGUUUUCCUCUGUAUGAAGGUCAAUGAAACUGCUAUAACUUGUUCGAACUUUCUUGGAUAAAUGAUCUUCAUGUGGAAGCAAUGAGAUUGUUCGGUUUGUGAUGAUUCAGUGAAAGAAAAUCUAUGUUCACUACACUUGAAAUUCAAUUUCUGAUUUUGCAGUGGCAAAUUAUGAUAUGUUCAGCCAACGUUUGUUUUUUUUUUUUUUUUCUGUUUUUGGUUGUUCUUCUUAAUAGCUUUACGAAGUUUUUUUUUUUUUUUUUUUUUGGUAAAAAUGUUAAGAUUAUCAUUACCAAUUUUAAGUUUUUGACAGAAUACAGAGAUAACGAGAAGCAGAAAAUUUAAAAGCAACUAUACUAACUAAACAACAACUCAAACCGAAACAAGAAGUGGAAGAUACAACCAGCUAAGAGCCCACACGAAGGACCCAUCAGAGUCGGUACAAGUCGCUUGCCGCAAAAGGAUGAACCGCAGUGAAUUACGAGACCUUGAGCCCGGGAGAAUUUGGCGAAACCCGAUGAACAAGUCUUAAUGAUAGGUACAUCCAAGAACAGCUCGCUAAUGACCUUUUAAUCCAGUUCCAACACGCACAAACCACUAACUAGAGACCUAAACCCACCUACUAGCCAGCCGAGCCUUAUUCCAAACACCAACAAACAGGCUGCAGAUAUACAAACCUGAAAACAACCACGGGAACUGCACAAAAAAGGGUUGAGAGACAGCCGCCAACCCACACGAAGCUCUCCAAACCUACCAACCUAAGAAGCCGGAAGAGCACAUCCACUGGAACUGCUUCGCCAUGGCGAAAGGUUCCAGAGCAGGGAUGAUGUGAUCAACACACGGAGACACGAGCACCUACCCAAACCGAAUGACCACGCGGAGAAGAUAGGACUCACCAUGGACAGAUUCUGAAAACCAGAGGACUGACCGGCAAACGGAGCAAGAACGAGACAAUGAGGCACAGCCGCAAGGAGGAGGACUGGAGGAGACUCACAGCAGAGAACCACCACAAGCGCUUCAAGAGAGAGGCCGCGAGAGGAGGAAGACAAAGAGGAAUCACUUGAACCAAGCCGGAUCCAGAGCCAUAGACGACUCGUUGUCCAAAACCAGGUCGACGGUGAGCGCGCUAAACCAGGAACCGCCGGCUCGCCACACGACGAGAACCAGAGAUCCGAGGAACACGCCGACGUGGAACAAACCACGCCGCAACCUCUCGAGCAGAAGCAGACCGAGAAACCACUUUCGACAAGACACCAAGUGAAAGAGAGAGACACGCGCCGCCGCACCAAUUCGCCGGGAUAACGGAAGAGAGAAGAGCAGGUAGACGAGCAGAUCCAAGGCGAAGGAGCCACCUCCUGAAGUCACGCGCCGUCAAACAGAGGGAACCGCCGUAGAUCUAAAGGAAAAAAGAACGUCCGGCGAAACCCAACCCAAAAAGCCGACCACAACCUCCAACCUGCCACUACACACCCACCUCGCAGAGUCACCAGAGACCAAACCAGCACCGGAAUCAGCCUAGGUCUUCCGCCAGCGAGAGCUCAAACCUCCAGAGACGACCACAUAUCGGUGGGGAACCAGAUGGGGAGAGAAGGGCAAAAGGAAGACGAGAUAAGGGUAACUAGGAGGAGCCCUCCGGCGUCAAAAAAGGCACGACUCGCCGGAAGCAAACGGCGACCAGCAAAGAAGCGAGCGUUUGGAGAGAAAGUAAGAGGAGAGAGAAACUCUAAAGUUCUAUCGUGUGUCCCAUAUUGAUUUCUUUUCGCUUUACGAAGUUAUAAAAGUCGACUUUUGAAAUUAGCUUUAUCACACUCUAUAUGUAUUACACAAGGUACGUCUUUCAAGACUUCGAACAUGACUGUAUCAAUGAUUGUGGACUGAAUAACCCCUAUUUCAAUGCAAGGAAUCUAAUGUUUUUUUCUUGGUUCAUCACAAAGUUGUUUACGAGUAAUCACAAGUAUAUUUACAAAGAAAGGUGAAAAAU